CUCUGGGCUGUUGUGGUUACAAUGUUGACAGCCGGCUGCCUAUAAAUACAGGCCGGCUGAGCUGUCGCAGUCAGUUGUAUUCCAGCUUACCAUAAUAAAGAGCUACUUGAAGAAAUCGCUGUGCCGGCUGCUAUGUCAACCCACGACUUAACACUGGCGACGAGGAUGGGAUUGAUGGACAUCAGAGCACAGCCAGAUGCGGCCAGCCUCUGAACGGAGCUGAAUCACAGAGCGAAAUCACUGAGCGAAAUCACUGGGCAGAACCAAUUCAGAGCUGACUGUUCUGGCUAGAGCACUGUGUUCCAUCCAUCGCCCUUCACGCCGGCAUCGGAAUCAUGGCUUCACUUGUGCCUCUACCGCCGUUUGCGCCAGCCUCUGAAUCGUGGGACUCCUACCUCGCUCGGUUCGACUGCUACCUCCAAGCCAACGAGCUGACAGCAGUAUCAAAGGAUCGGAAGCGGGGCCUAUUCCUCAGCCUCUGUGGGCCUGAGGUGUUUGAGACGGCCCGAGCGUUGGUUGCGCCUGAAGCAGUCCAGGCAACACCAUGGGACACGAUCCAAGAGAAGCUCCGCAACCAUUACGCACCAAAGCCGUCCAAGAUUGCUGCCCGCCAUGCGUUCUACCACCGGAACCAGGCAGAGGGGAGUCAAUCAACAACUACACCACCGCCCUGCGACAGGCUGCAAUGCACUGUGAGUUCCGAGACUUAGACGAUGCCCUGAUGGAUCGAAUCGUCUGCGGGGUCCGGGACAUCCAUCUGCAACGGCGCCUCCUAGCCAAGCCAGACCUCACGCUACAGAAAGCCAUUGAGGAGGCUGUGGCCUCAGAAGCUGCUGAACGCUCCGCCCAGGAGAUCCGCAAGUCCAGCAGCCCGCGUCUUGCUAGGGAGCCAGGUCUGGUGCACGUCAUCGUCUUCACUGGAGGAUGCCUCCUCACUGCUGGCCUCUUCAUGAUGCACCAGAACUGGCUCCCUAGCAAGACGCGGGCUGCUGGACUUGCGGAUCUCCUGGGCGGAGCGUUCAGCAGCUUCUGAGGCCACAGCCUCCUCAAUGGCUUUCUGUAGCGUGAGGUCUGGCUUGGCUAGGAGGCGCCGUUGCAGAUGGAUGUCCCGGACCCCGCAGACGAUUCGAUCCAUCAGGGCAUCGUCUAAGUCUCGGAACUCACAGUGCAUUGCAGCCUGUCGCAGGGCGGUGGUGUAGUUGUUGAUUGACUCCCCCUCUGCCUGGUUCCGGUGGUAGAACGCAUGGCGGGCAGCAAUCUUGGACGGCUUUGGUGCGUAGUGGUUGCGGAGCUUCUCUUGGAUCGUGUCCCAUGGUGUUGCCUGGACUGCUUCAGGCGCAACCAACGCUCGGGCCGUCUCAAACACCUCAGGCCCACAGAGGCUGAGGAAUAGGCCCCGCUUCCGAUCCUUUGAUACUGCUGUCAGCUCGUUGGCUUGGAGGUAGCAGUCAAACCGAGCGAGGUAGGAGUCCCAUGAUUCAGAGGCUGGCGCAAACGGCGGUAGAGGCACAAGUGAAGCCAUGAUUCCGAUGCCGGCGUGAAGGGCGAUGGAUGGAACACAGUGCUCUAGCCAGAACAGUCAGCUCUGAAUUGGUUCUGCCCAGUGAUUUCGCUCAGUGAUUUCGCUCUGUGAUUCAGCUCAGUGAUUCAGCUCAGUUCAGAGGCUGGCCGCAUCUGGCUGUGCUCUGAUGUCCAUCCAUCCCAUCCUCGUCGCCAGUGUUAAGUCGUGGGUUGACAUAGCAGCCGGCACAGCGAUUUCUUCAAGUAGCUCUUUAUUAUGGUAAGCUGGAAUAGAACUGACUGCGAACAGCUCAGCCGGCCUGUAUUUAUAGGCAGCCGGCUGUCAACAUUGUAACCACAACAGCCCAGAGUUCCCGCCUAAAAUAACUGCCGCGGACCUGAGUGAAAACUAUCUACAGACCUGAGUGAAAACUAUAUACAGUAUCCCCCUGUUGGCCCAGGGUGCUUACCAUAAUAAAGAGCUACUUGAAGAAAUCGCUGUGCCGGCUGCUAUGUCAACCCACGACUUAACAGCUCCCUAGACUGGAUGGGUGGAGCGUCCCUUACUGUGGACGGGAUGAAAUUCCCUCUUGAGGAGCAGCUAUGUAGCUUGCAGGUUCUUAUGGAUCCCUUGCUGUUGCUUGAGGCUCAGGUGGCCUCCGUGGCGCAGAGUGCCUUCCAUCAGCUUUGGCCAGCAGCCCAGCUAUGCCCCAAUUUGGACAGGGAUAGCUCCACUUCUGUUGUCUGUGCUCUGGUCACCUCUAGGUUAGAUUACUGCAUUUGGAGACAGUUUGGAAACUGCAGCUGAUGCAGAUUUCAGCAGCCAGCAGGGCUGAGCAGGGCAGGACAGUCUGAACAUUUAGCAGCUAUCCUGGCUCGACUGCACUGGCUAUCACUUAGUUUGCAGUGCUGGUUUGACUUACAACCCAUGAUACAGCCUUGACGUAUAAAGUCUCAGGACUCCAAUGCCUCUAGGGCUGCCUCUGCCCACAUAAACCAGCCUGGACACUGCAGCCACCAUCGGAGCUCCUCCUUCAUGUGCCCUCUCUGAAGGAAGUGUUAAAGAUGGCGGCAUGCGAAUGGGACGUUUCAGUGGUGGCUCCCCACCUGCAAAAGGCUCCUUUCCAGGAAGCACAUCUGGGACCAUUGCUGGGUAAGCUUAUUUGUCCAAAUUUAAUUUGGAGGGUCACUGAAAGCAAGGGUAGGACUUGUUCCCUUUAAACAUAUUGUCAGAUGAAUAUUUUAGUUUUUUUGCUGUUUGCAUCUGAUUUUUAUGACUUUGUCAUUUUAUUUUUGCUUCCCUUGAUUGCA
Long non-coding RNA from Podarcis muralis (Common wall lizard), 2811 nucleotides. NCBI's taxonomy places the organism in Eukaryota, Metazoa, Chordata, Lepidosauria, Squamata, Lacertidae. The record is from Ensembl.